RNAcentral lists this ribosomal RNA (497 nucleotides) under uncultured bacterium. RNAcentral describes it as "partial 16S ribosomal RNA". It matches the Rfam family "Bacterial small subunit ribosomal RNA", at positions 28 to 507 of the family's 1533-position model. The record is from RNAcentral.
GAUGAACGCUGGCGGCGUGCCUAAUACAUGCAAGUCGAGCGAACAGACGAGGAGCUUGCUCCUCUGACGUUAGCGGCGGACGGGUGAGUAACACGUGGAUAACCUACCUAUAAGACUGGGAUAACUUCGGGAAACCGGUUCUAAUACCGGAUAAUAUAUUGAACCUCAUGGUUCAAUAGUGAAAGACGGUUUUGCUGUCACUUAUAGAUGGAUCCGCGCCGCAUUAGCUAGUUGGUAAGGUAACGGCUUACCAAGGCAACGAUGCGUAGCCGACCUGAGAGGGUGAUCGGCCACCCUGGAACUGAGACACGGUCCAGACUCCUACGGGAGGCAGCAGUAGGGAAUCUUACGCAAUGGGCGAAAGCCUGACGGAGCAACGCCGCGUGAGUGAUGAAGGUCUUCGGAUCGUAAAACUCUGUUAUUAGGGAAGAACAAAUGUGUAAGUAACUAUGCACGUCUUGACGGUACCUAAUCAGAAAGCCACGGCUAACUACGUG